GACGAACCGUCCGAACGUUAUUCGGUAUCACUGGGCUUAAAGAGUUCGUAGGCGGCCCGACAGGUGAGGUGUGAAAUCCCUCGGCUCAACCGAGGAAUUGCGCUUCAAACCGUCAGGCUUGAGGGAGAUAGAGGUGAGCGGAACAGAUGGUGGAGCGGUGAAAUGCGUUGAUAUCAUCUGGAACACCGGUGGCGAAAGCGGCUCACUGGAUCUUUUCUGACGCUGAGGAACGAAAGCUAGGGUAGCGAACGGG
Molecule: ribosomal RNA, 253 nt
Filed under: bacterium
Lineage: Bacteria
Also listed under: 2 other names
Description: partial 16S ribosomal RNA
Rfam family: Bacterial small subunit ribosomal RNA
Source: RNAcentral